CCAGUGUGGUGGUACACCUGUGUUGCCAACACUGCAGAGGGGGGUAUUCAAAAGUAACCACGCGUGAAUGUUUAUUUCCCAAAAUCAGUCUAUUUGACCUGCACCAGGCAAGCUCCCUCCUGCCCUUCCAGCUUGAGUCUGUGACAUCACAACUUUUUGGUAAUAGCCUAUUAAUCACCUACUGCCUGAUGCUGUGAAUUCUGUCUGGUUUCCUCCAGGAUACUUCAUCAUCUGCAAGCAGGACUUGGACCAGGCAGUGAUGCCUCCAUCCAAGCUCCUCCAGAUGCCGGUGCUCCGAGCUUUGCCAGAACUGCAUGAUUUCUGUGCGUGCCAUUAGACUGGGAUGAUGAACAGCUUGGCUGUGAACACAUGGAGUGCAAACCCUGGUGAAACCUGGCUCAUGAGCAUCCUUACUGCCGUGCAGAGCUGCCAUCUGGCAGGUUAGACCUGGUGUCCUCACUACUCCAGCUUCCCAAGCCAGCAGCUUUUUUGUUUCCUUUUAAAUGAAAACAAAUGUUAACUUCAGCCUGUGGAUGAUGCAGCCUAUGGCCACCAGCAACAUCUCUUUGUGCAGGGGAUACUGGGAUGAAGGACCUUUACUGCACACCACACAGUACCCAAAAAUAGCCCCAGCGGGUCAGCAACGUGGUGUUCGCAAGGGAAUGCAAGGAAGAAAGCGAUCCCACCUCAGGGAGCCGCCAGGCAACCAGGCUGCAGUUUGUGGUGCAAAGCUCACUACAGAGUGCUCUAUGUCAGUGGCUGCAAGUUGUGCCCAGGAUCAGCCUCCAGCUGUGCCAUAGGAUGGUUACGGCAGAAAAUAAGGAUAUUUGAGCCUGAACCAAAUUUUCUGGUAAGAAGAGCAACUGCCCCUUCUGGCUCCCCUUGUUCGUUUCCCUUCAAGACAUAAGAAUGAUCCUGGAUGUUAAAAAUGAAGACAGAAUACAGCAGCUGCUUUUGCAGCUGAGGGUAGAGAAUCCAGGCAAAGCUCACACAUGGGUUUUUGGAGGGAUCACAUUGAAGCGAGGCAGUGCCAGGGGCUGGGGCUGUGGUACACACCUUGCAGGCUGCAGUGGCAUUGAGUGAUUUUACUGCUUGCAACUCCUCCUUGAAAAAC
Molecule: long non-coding RNA, 1114 nt
Organism: Parus major (Great Tit)
Lineage: Eukaryota; Metazoa; Chordata; Aves; Passeriformes; Paridae
Source: Ensembl